Molecule: ribosomal RNA, 338 nt
Filed under: uncultured soil bacterium
Lineage: Bacteria
Description: bacterial SSU rRNA
Rfam family: Bacterial small subunit ribosomal RNA
Source: RNAcentral
AGAUUGAACGCUGGCGGCAGGCCUAACACAUGCAAGUCGAGCGGCAGCACGGGUACUUGUACCUGGUGGCGAGCGGCGGACGGGUGAGUAAUGCCUAGGAAUCUGCCUGGUAGUGGGGGAUAACGCUCGGAAACGGACGCUAAUACCGCAUACGUCCUACGGGAGAAAGCAGGGGACCUUCGGGCCUUGCGCUAUCAGAUGAGCCUAGGUCGGAUUAGCUAGUUGGUGAGGUAAUGGCUCACCAAGGCGACGAUCCGUAACUGGUCUGAGAGGAUGAUCAGUCACACUGGAACUGAAGACACGGUCCAGACUCCUACGGGAGGCAGCAGUGGGGAAUA